GACGGGGGAUGCAAGCGUUAUCCGGAAUCACUGGGCGUAAAACGUCUGUAGGUGGUGAUGCAAGUCACUGGUGCAAAACUCUGGCUCAACCGGAGGAAAGCCAGUGAAACUGCAUGACUAGAGUGUGGGAGAGGUAGAAGGAAUUCCCUGAGUAGCGGUGAAAUGCGUAGAUACAGGGAAGAAAACCGGAGGCGAAAGCGUUCUACUGGAACACAACUGUCACUGAGAGACGAAAGCUAGGGGAGCGAAUGGG
RNAcentral lists this ribosomal RNA (253 nucleotides) under uncultured bacterium. RNAcentral describes it as "partial 16S ribosomal RNA". It matches the Rfam family "Bacterial small subunit ribosomal RNA", at positions 524 to 776 of the family's 1533-position model. The record is from RNAcentral.